This is a transfer RNA of Marchantia polymorpha subsp. polymorpha, 73 nucleotides long. It matches the Rfam family "tRNA". From Rfam's summary of the family: Transfer RNA (tRNA) molecules are approximately 80 nucleotides in length. Their secondary structure includes four short double-helical elements and three loops (D, anti-codon, and T loops). Lineage: Eukaryota; Viridiplantae; Streptophyta; Marchantiopsida; Marchantiales; Marchantiaceae. The record is from Rfam.
GGGGAUGUAGCUCAGAUGGUAGAGCGCUCGCUUAGCACGCGAGAGGCACGGGGAUCGAUACCCCGCAUCUCCA